AAUGCGCAUAGCCAAUGGCGCGGCGGUGUGAUUCGCUGGAUUAAACAAUCAAGUGAAAAAAGCUUGGAACUAGGGUUAGAAAUCUUAGCGCAAGA
Molecule: transfer RNA, 95 nt
Filed under: Acinetobacter johnsonii
Lineage: Bacteria; Pseudomonadati; Pseudomonadota; Gammaproteobacteria; Moraxellales; Moraxellaceae
Description: tRNA-Ser
Source: RNAcentral